This 948-nucleotide long non-coding RNA is filed under the name Homo sapiens (human). RNAcentral describes it as "uncharacterized LOC101928894 (LOC101928894)". The record is from RNAcentral. Lineage: Eukaryota; Metazoa; Chordata; Mammalia; Primates; Hominidae.
GAAGGAUGUGUUUGCUUCUCCUUCCACCAUGAUUGUAAGUUUCCUGAGGCCUCCCCAGCCAUGCUCAACUGCUGUUCUGAUCAUGAUCAAGCCCAAGACAGAGCGAUGGGCGUGGCUUCCCCAAAGGUGUUUAUGAAUCCAAAAUCUGAGAGAGAGAAGACAAGAUGAAGUCACAGUCUAGUCAUUGCCUCAACACCAGUCAUUCCUACUCCCACCCAGACAACAUCAUCUCCACUCCCAAGCCCGAAAUGCUCCCUGCCAUGCCUUCGAGGCUGAGGUCUGGGAAGAAAACUCUAAGAAGAGAGAAAAGGGCACCAGUAUGGAGACCCUAGAAUAUAAAAAGCAGACUUAGCCUGUCUAACCUGUUCCUUGACUUGGCCAUGAUCCCAGGAAUGGAGGAAGGAUCUUCCUUUUCUUCCUCCUCCUGGAGAGGCAUCAGAGCAUGGGCCCUGGCUCUGUUACUCCCUGGCUGGGGAAGUUACUUACCUACUCCGUGUCUCAGUUUUACUUAUCUCUAAAAGGGGUAGAGUAACAGCACUCACUGGAGUGGAGUGUGGUUAUGCCUCCCAGCCUCUCCUUCAGAACUAGGUUACUUAUUCCCUCAGCUGCAAGGAGUGUUAGCUGCGGACUGCUCACAACGGAGUCUCUUCUAGGGAUUGCCCUCAACCGAAGGAAGCUGCAUUGCCCAAGAUGAGAUCCCCUCGCUGGGGCAUCCUGCAUCCAAUGACAAGUCAGUGGGGCGUACGAAGGCCUGGCUUCCUCAUCUCGAUUGGACAUCUCCAAAGGGCCAUCCCAGUUUCUGAUCUCCCCGUAGAAUCUCCUGAAGCCUCUGUUGUGACUGCAUCAGAGCCCAACCUCUCUCUCUACCCAAUCCAGUCUCCUUUCCUUCUCACAGGUGUUGUUCCCAAAACUCAGUAAACUGCCUACACGCAAAAAAAAAAAAAAAAA